UUGGUGACGUGAGGAUAUAGUGUAUCGUUGUGUGGGUGAUUACUAUGGAUUACCGCCGCCCUAGUACACCUGCAUCGUUUUCAGGGCGCCGGCGAGCGUUGGCGAACCACGUGGACACCUGCGGGAGGAGGACGGAGACAGGGGCGUGUACGGAGCUUGAUAUCACCGCACCAUCCUCCAGUCUGCCACAAAAAUGACCAGCCAUGACAUACAAUCCAGCUUGGCCAGUUCACUUCAAUGCAUCUAUCCAGCCAUUCAACCAGCCACCCAGCCAUUCAACCACCCAUCCAGCCAUUCAACCAGCCACCCAGCCAUUCAACCAGCCAUCCAGUCAUCCACCUAACCCUUCUGUUGCGUCGCUGCGCCAUGCCAUCCUACAGUGUUUGUCGCAGUGCUCUUAACAUCACCUUUCAGCCAUAUCACUCACUAGGUGUAAGAGCGAGUGAAAGGGUUAGGCGAUGUGUUUACCUGUUUACACACACACACACACACACACACACACACACACAGACAGAGGCACAUUUGGAAUAUUAUGGGUGCUGGAUCUAUUGCCGUCGUCCGCUGUUGUUGUUGUUGUUGCUGUUGAUGUUACUACUGUUAUUGUUGUUGUUGUCGUUGUCGUUGCUGUUGAUGUCGUUGCUGCGUCUGUUUCCUUUGUCUGACUCGCCUCAAUCGAAAUUUGGUUGUCAUUUGUUAUUGUUUUUAUUGGUGUGUUUAUUUUUUUUUAUCGUAUUUUGUUGCCUUUGUGUUCAUUGUUUUAUUUUUUUACUUGCUGUGUUAUUUACUUAUUUACUUUGUUUCCUCAUGCGUCACAUUUUUUUUUCUUUCGUGCUUCCUUUCUUUUAGUGUGUGUGUGUGUGUGUGUGUGUGUGUGUGUGUGUGUCGGUGAGGGCGUGCUUCCUUUACUUACAUACAUCGUUAUCACUUACAACAACAUUCGUCAUUACCAUUUUAAUAAGACACGAGUGCAACGGUAACGACCCUCUACCCAAUACUAAACGACCAUAAUCCAGUAGUUUUUUUCCACUUCUUUGGUCCACUUAUUUGUUCGUUAGUUUUUUUGUGGGUAAUUGGCAGAGUGAUCUCAAACCACAAACGUCAAACAAGCACGUAACCUUUCUCCGCCGCAGCCUUCGUAACAUAGCACACAAUCUAAAAAUAUUCUUAGACUGUGACAUACCAGAGCGUCGUGCCCUUAACGGUAGCAGCGACGGGCCAA
Long non-coding RNA from Eriocheir sinensis (Chinese mitten crab), 1219 nucleotides. RefSeq lists it as uncharacterized. NCBI's taxonomy places the organism in Eukaryota, Metazoa, Arthropoda, Malacostraca, Decapoda, Varunidae. The record is from RefSeq and is a predicted model, not a curated record. The transcript has 3 exons.